AUUGAACGCUGGCGGCGUGCUUAACACAUGCAAGCCGAACGGUGAACGAGGGAGCUUGCUCCCUCCGGAUCAGUGGCGAACGGGUGAGUAACACGUGAGCAAUCUGCCCUGGACUCUGGGAUAAGCGUUGGAAACGACGUCUAAUACCGGAUACGAGGCGUGGGGGCAUCCCCAACGCCUGGAAAGAACUUCGGUCCAGGAUGGGCCCGCGGCCUAUCAGCUUGUUGGUGGGGUAAUGGCCUACCAAGGCGACGACGGGUAGCCGACCUGAGAGGGUGACCGGCCACACUGGGACUGAGACACGGCCCAGACUCCUACGGGAGGCAGCAGUGGGGAAUAUUGCACAAUGGGCGAAAGCCUGAUGCAGCGACGCCGCGUGAGGGAUGACGGCCUUCGGGUUGUAAACCUCUUUCAGCAGGGACGAAGCGAAAGUGACGGUACCUGCAGAAGAAGCACCGGCCAACUACGUGCCAGCCGCCGCGGUAA
Molecule: ribosomal RNA, 486 nt
Filed under: uncultured bacterium
Lineage: Bacteria
Description: partial 16S ribosomal RNA
Rfam family: Bacterial small subunit ribosomal RNA
Source: RNAcentral